This 494-nucleotide ribosomal RNA is filed under the name uncultured bacterium. RNAcentral's name for it is "partial 16S ribosomal RNA". It matches the Rfam family "Bacterial small subunit ribosomal RNA", at positions 28 to 507 of the family's 1533-position model. The record is from RNAcentral.
GACGAACGCUGGCGGCGCGCUUAACACAUGCAAGUCGAACGGAAAGGCCUGCUUUCCCUUGUGGAUUGCGGGUACUCGAGUGGCGAACGGGUGAGUAACACGUGAGUGAUCUGCCCCCAACUUGGGUAUAAGCCUGGGAAACUGGGUCUAAUUCCCGAUAGGACUGCAGGGUGGUGCCUGUGGUGGAAAACGAUUUUCUAGUGGUUGGGGAUGAGCUCGCGGCCUAUCAGCUUGUUGGUGGGGUAAUGGCCUACCAAGGCGGCGACGGGUAGCCGGCCUGAGAGGGUGGACGGCCACAUUGGGACUGAGAUACGGCCCAGACUCCUACGGGAGGCAGCAGUGGGGAAUAUUGCACAAGGGGCGGAAGCCUGAUGCAGCGACGCCGCGUGGGGGAUGACGGCCUUCGGGUUGUAAACUCCUUCCGACCGCGAGGAAGCCACCUGGUUGGAAGGGUGGUGACGGUAGUGGUAGAAGAAGCACCGGCUAACUACGUG